GCAAGGGUGUUAACUAAUCUUAAUUUGGUUCUGCUGAUUUCUAGAAAACUACUAUGAUUUAGAUCAAAUCUAUUUAUGUCCGCAGCAGCAAGGAAAACAUCAUGUUAUUAUCUUAGAAUAAAACUCCCUUUAAACUCCUUGCUUUCCCGGAAUGACAUUCCAGCUAACUAUGAGUUUCCCCAUUGACAUUUCACCUAUCCUGGUAUAGAAGAAGCAUGGAAAUAUCUAAUUUAUUUCAGGUUUGGCUUAGCA
This 252-nucleotide long non-coding RNA is filed under the name Daucus carota (carrot). Its description in RNAcentral is "long non-coding RNA (DCAR_LNC001206)". Lineage: Eukaryota; Viridiplantae; Streptophyta; Magnoliopsida; Apiales; Apiaceae. The record is from RNAcentral.